CGGGGGGUGCAAGCGUUGUUCGGAUUUAUUGGGCGUAAAGCGCGUGUAGGCGGUUUGUUAAGUCUGUUGUGAAAGCCCUGGGCUCAACCCGGGAAGUGCACUGGAUACUGGCAAACUUGAAUACGGGAGAGGAGAGUGGAAUUCCUGGUGUAGGAGUGAAAUCCGUAGAUAUCAGGAGGAACACCGGUGGCGAAGGCGGCUCUCUGGACCGAUAUUGACGCUGAGACGCGAAAGCGUGGGUAGCAAACAGGAUUAGAUACCCUGGUAGUCCACGCCGUAAACGAUGAGUACUAGGUGUUGCGGGUAUUGACCCCUGCAGUGCCGCAGCUAACGCAUUAAGUACUCCGCCUGGGAAGUACGGUCGCAAGACUA
This 372-nucleotide ribosomal RNA is filed under the name uncultured organism. RNAcentral describes it as "bacterial SSU rRNA". It matches the Rfam family "Bacterial small subunit ribosomal RNA", at positions 526 to 896 of the family's 1533-position model. The record is from RNAcentral.